GAAUGCUGACAUAAGUAACGAUAAAGCGGGUGAAAAGCCCGCUCGCCGGAAGACCAAGGGUUCCUGUCCAACGUUAAUCGGGGCAGGGUGAGUCGACCCCUAAGGCGAGGCCGAAAGGCGUAGUCGAUGGGAAACGGGUUAAUAUUCCCGUACUUGGUGUUACUGCGAAGGGGGGACGGAGAAGGCUAUGUUGGCCGGGCGACGGUUGUCCCGGUUUAAGCGUGUAGGUGUGUGUUCCAGGUAAAUCCGGUUCACUUUAACACUGAGGCGUGACGACGAGGCACUACGGUGCUGAAGCAACAAAUGCCCUGCUUCCAGGAAAAGCCUCUAAGCAUCAGGUAACAUCAAAUCGUACCCCAAACCGACACAGGUGGUCAGGUAGAGAAUACCAAGGCGCUUGAGAGAACUCGGGUGAAGGAACUAGGCAAAAUGGUGCCGUAACUUCGGGAGAAGGCACGCUGACACGUAGGUGAAGUGAUUUACUCAUGGAGCUGAAGUCAGUCGAAGAUACCAGCUGGCUGCAACUGUUUAUUAAAAACACAGCACUGUGCAAACACGAAAGUGGACGUAUACGGUGUGACGCCUGCCCGGUGCCGGAAGGUUAAUUGAUGGGGUCAGCGCAAGCGAAGCUCCUGAUCGAAGCCCCGGUAAACGGCGGCCGUAACUAUAACGGUCCUAAGGUAGCGAAAUUCCUUGUCGGGUAAGUUCCGACCUGCACGAAUGGCGUAAUGAUGGCCAGGCUGUCUCCACCCGAGACUCAGUGAAAUUGAACUCGCUGUGAAGAUGCAGUGUACCCGCGGCAAGACGGAAAGACCCCGUGAACCUUUACUAUAGCUUGACACUGAACAUUGAGCCUUGAUGUGUAGGAUAGGUGGGAGGCUUUGAAGUGUGGACGCCAGUCUGCAUGGAGCCGACCUUGAAAUACCACCCUUUAAUGUUUGAUGUUCUAACGUGGACCCGUUACCCGGGUUGCGGACAGUGUCUGGUGGGUAGUUUGACUGGGGCGGUCUCCUCCUAAAGAGUAACGGAGGAGCACGAAGGUUGGCUAAUCCUGGUCGGACAUCAGGAGGUUAGUGCAAUGGCAUAAGCCAGCUUGACUGCGAGCGUGACGGCGCGAGCAGGUGCGAAAGCAGGUCAUAGUGAUCCGGUGGUUCUGAAUGGAAGGGCCAUCGCUCAACGGAUAAAAGGUACUCCGGGGAUAACAGGCUGAUACCGCCCAAGAGUUCAUAUCGACGGCGGUGUUUGGCACCUCGAUGUCGGCUCAUCACAUCCUGGGGCUGAAGUAGGUCCCAAGGGUAUGGCUGUUCGCCAUUUAAAGUGGUACGCGAGCUGGGUUUAGAACGUCGUGAGACAGUUCGGUCCCUAUCUGCCGUGGGCGCUGGAGAACUGAGGGGGGCUGCUCCUAGUACGAGAGGACCGGAGUGGACGCAUCACUGGUGUUCGGGUUGUCAUGCCAAUGGCACUGCCCGGUAGCUAAAUGCGGAAGAGAUAAGUGCUGAAAGCAUCUAAGCACGAAACUUGCCCCGAGAUGAGUUCUCCCUGAGACUUAGAGUCUCCUGAAGGAACGUUGAAGACGACGACGU
RNAcentral lists this ribosomal RNA (1583 nucleotides) under Salmonella enterica subsp. enterica serovar Enteritidis. Its description in RNAcentral is "partial 23S ribosomal RNA". It matches the Rfam family "Bacterial large subunit ribosomal RNA", at positions 1292 to 2853 of the family's 2925-position model. Lineage: Bacteria; Pseudomonadati; Pseudomonadota; Gammaproteobacteria; Enterobacterales; Enterobacteriaceae. The record is from RNAcentral.